This 441-nucleotide ribosomal RNA is filed under the name uncultured bacterium. RNAcentral's name for it is "partial 16S ribosomal RNA". It matches the Rfam family "Bacterial small subunit ribosomal RNA", at positions 338 to 795 of the family's 1533-position model. The record is from RNAcentral.
CCUACGGGAGGCAGCAGUGGGGGAUAUUGCACAAUGGGGGGAACCCUGAUGCAGCGACGCCGCGUGGGUGAAGGAGCGUUUCGGCGCGUAAAGCCCUAUCGGCAGGGAAGAAGGAGGCGGGUACCUGACUAAGAAGCCCCGGCUAAAUACGUGCCAGCAGCCGCGGUAAUACGUAGGGGGCACGCGGUUUCCGGUUUUACUGGGUGUAAAGGGGGCGCAGACGGCAGGGCAAGCCAGGGGGGAAAGCCCGGGGCCCAACCCCGGGACAGCUCUUGGAACUGGGCGGCUGGAGUGCAGGAGGGGCAGGCGGAAUUCCUGGUGUAGCGGUGAAAUGCGUAGAUAUCAGGAGGAACACCGGUGGCGAAGGCGGCCUGCUGGACUGCGACUGACGUUGAGGCCCGAAAGCGUGGGGAGCAAACAGGAUUAGAUACCCCAGUAGUC